UGGGGAAUAUUGGACAAUGGGCGCAAGCCUGAUCCAGCCAUGCCGCGUGAGUGAUGAAGGCCCUAGGGUUGUAAAGCUCUUUCACCGGUGAAGAUAAUGACGGUAACCGGAGAAGAAGCCCCGGCUAACUUCGUGCCAUCAGCCGCGGUAAUACGAAGGGGGCUAGCGUUGUUCGGAUUUACUGGGCGUAAAGCGCACGUAGGCGGACUAUUAAGUCAGGGGUGAAAUCCCGGGGCUCAACCCCGGAACUGCCUUUGAUACUGGUAGUCUUGAGUUCGAGAGAGGUGAGUGGAAUUCCGAGUGUAGAGGUGAAAUUCGUAGAUAUUCGGGGGAACACCAGUGGCGAAGGCGGCUCACUGGCUCGAUACUGACGCUGAGGUGCGAAAGCGUGGGGAGCAAACAGG
RNAcentral lists this ribosomal RNA (404 nucleotides) under Actinomycetes bacterium. RNAcentral's name for it is "Actinobacteria bacterium partial 16S ribosomal RNA". It matches the Rfam family "Bacterial small subunit ribosomal RNA", at positions 355 to 776 of the family's 1533-position model. The record is from RNAcentral. Lineage: Bacteria; Bacillati; Actinomycetota; Actinomycetes.